GUGUGUCCUCCCUCCAUCGCUAACGCGAUCACCCGCGCCCGGCUCUUCCGCAAAAGUUUCCGAUGAGCUGAAUGUAUAAAUCCGGCCAACGAUCAAUUGUAGCUGUGUUCCUCACCGGUGCCCCCGACCAGCACAGUCCCAGCUAGCGCUGGGGGGCAGCCCGCAGCCAACAUCGCCUGCCCCGAACUUCCUGACCUGCUAACCGGGGCCAUGCACAAUUCUGAUUUGCUGGAGGCAGCCGUGAGAGCACGGAGGAACAUCUGGAGAAACUUCUGAAGCGCCCGGUUCGCUGCCGCUGCUACUGUGCGAUCGAGAAUCUCCGGAGGGGAAGGCCCCCAAAUCCUCGGCUUUGCCUGCUGCUGGGGUCGAAGCGUUCAGCAGAGAUGGUGCUCGGUGCUCAGUGUCGGAGGGCUGGUCGGAGCUCAAAGUUUUCGGACAAUUCAGAAUCGGGCUGUGGUCGGGCAUGGCAAAGAGAGUUUUCUUCCUUCUCCCGUCUGCGUGAGAUGUGGGACUUUCGAGAGACUUUGAACUUUUUUUUACUGUGCCCAUGGCCUGUUCUUCAUCAGGUUAUGGUAUUGCUUGCACUGUUGUAACUAUAUGUUAUAAUGAUGUGGUUUUUGUUAGUUUUUCAGUCUUGGUCUGUCCUGUGUUUCUGUGAUAUCACACCGGAGGAAUAUUGUAUCAUUUCUUAAUGCAUGCAUUACUAAAUGACAAUAAAAGAGGACUGCGUGUCCUCAUAAUCUAAUCUAA
Molecule: long non-coding RNA, 750 nt
Organism: Mobula hypostoma (lesser devil ray)
Lineage: Eukaryota; Metazoa; Chordata; Chondrichthyes; Myliobatiformes; Myliobatidae
Exons: 2
Source: RefSeq, a predicted model, not a curated record